CAGAGGACUCUGGUGCCUCAGACCGAGGUUCCCCACUGCCGCUUUCCAUCAGGUUGUUCAUGGGGCUGUCCUGAAUUUGGGCUGACUCAGGCUCGGUACUCAGGGAAAUCUCCUCAUCAUCUGCUGAAUGAAGAGGAGCUUCUCUAUCAGGGGGACAGCAACCUGGCUUCCAGAAUAGAUCACUGGCUUCUGGACCUCAAAUGGAGAAGAUAACCACAAAACCUAGGAUACAUCUGGAGAGAACCAUUGACACUAGCCUAGGACAAGACAUGAAGUUCAUGCUGAAAAUACCUGGGUGGAUGGAGGAAGUGAUCUCAAAUCGGAAUUGCAGCUGUCCACUCACAUGAUCUGUUGGAAGCCUGCGGCCAAGUGUGUAGCUGACCACCCUAUCCCUAGAAGGAAAUAAGCACCAUCACA
RNAcentral lists this long non-coding RNA (417 nucleotides) under Homo sapiens (human). Its description in RNAcentral is "HSALNT0121855". The record is from RNAcentral. Lineage: Eukaryota; Metazoa; Chordata; Mammalia; Primates; Hominidae.